RNAcentral lists this unclassified non-coding RNA (230 nucleotides) under uncultured fungus. RNAcentral's name for it is "sequence contains ITS1, 5.8S rRNA gene". The stretch from base 182 to 230 matches the Rfam family "5.8S ribosomal RNA", at positions 1 to 49 of the family's 154-position model. The record is from RNAcentral. Lineage: Eukaryota; Fungi.
UCUCCGUAGGUGAACCUGCGGAGGGAUCAUUACUGAGCGAGGGUCUCCCGGCCCGACCUCCAACCCCUUUUGUGAACCACCUCGUUGCUUCGGGGGCGACCCUGCCGUUCGCGGCGUGGGGCCCCCGGAGCCCAUCAAACCCUGCGUAACUAAGUCGUCGGAGUUUAAACAAAUUAAACAAAACUUUCAACAACGGAUCUCUUGGUUCGGGCAUCGAUGAAGAACGCAGC